This 582-nucleotide long non-coding RNA is filed under the name Rattus norvegicus (Norway rat). RNAcentral's name for it is "long non-coding RNA NONRATT000398". The record is from RNAcentral. Lineage: Eukaryota; Metazoa; Chordata; Mammalia; Rodentia; Muridae.
CCAUCUUCAACUAGCUAGCUCCGUGCAGCCUAGGGGAUCAAAGCUGUGUGACCCGUGCUGGCUGGAGUAGGCGUCCUUGCUCUUUGGGGCCAGAGCCUGCGCUUGGGAAGCAACUGUGCUCCAGGCUCCUGUCCUUGGCCUGGAUGAACCGUCAGAAGUGGGGGAGGCCAGAACAUCCCUGUGAACCUGUGGAGUGCUAGAACCGGCGAGGGCUGAUUGCACCAUAUUUGGGACACGAUUCAUAUUUGGGGACCGCCUUACCUCCACCAUCUCCCUCAUAGACUCUGUUCCACGCAUAGGUAAAUCAGGAAGAUGUCGGAGCCCAUGGCCAUGAACCUGCUGGAGGAUUGGUGCCGGGGCAUGGGAAUGGACAUCCACAGGUCCCUGCUGGUCACUGGUAUCCCUGAGCACUGUGGCCAUGCAGAAAUCGAGGAGACCUUGAAUGGGGUCCUCUUGCCACUGGGCACAUACCGUAUACUCAACAAAAUGUUUUUGAGGCAAGAGAAUGUGAAGGCUGCUCUAGUUGAGGUUAGCGAGGGUGUGAAUCUAAGCUCCGUACCCCGGGAGUUCCCAGGGAGGGGC